GUCAGUGUGGCAUAGUGGCUUGAGUGUUGGACUAUAACCCUAGAGAAUAGGGUUCAAUUCCCUGCUCAGCCA
Non-coding RNA from Phrynosoma platyrhinos (Desert horned lizard), 72 nucleotides. The record is from the annotation of a GenBank genome assembly. Lineage: Eukaryota; Metazoa; Chordata; Lepidosauria; Squamata; Phrynosomatidae.